ACCUGAGCCGAAGGCAGAUGCUUAACCAUGUGAGCCACCCAGGCGCCCAGAGCUGAAGGUGCACUCGCAGAAAGUGGCUUCAGCUGGGACAACAGGAGCCCUCGAAAGAGCCAGGCUGUGGCCCAGGAGACAUCAGCCUUCCAGUCCCUGAAGCCUGCGGGAUCUGUGAACCUCACCAGAGUCCUGGCCCCG
This is a long non-coding RNA of Lontra canadensis (Northern American river otter), 192 nucleotides long. RefSeq lists it as uncharacterized. NCBI's taxonomy places the organism in Eukaryota, Metazoa, Chordata, Mammalia, Carnivora, Mustelidae. The transcript has 3 exons. The record is from RefSeq and is a predicted model, not a curated record.